This 301-nucleotide ribosomal RNA is filed under the name uncultured bacterium. RNAcentral describes it as "partial 16S ribosomal RNA". It matches the Rfam family "Bacterial small subunit ribosomal RNA", at positions 509 to 808 of the family's 1533-position model. The record is from RNAcentral.
CAGUAGCCGCGGGAAUACGGAGGAUCCAAGCGUUAUCCGGAAUCAUUGGGUUUAAAGGGUCCGUAGGCGGUCUUGUAAGUCAGUGGUGAAAGCCCAUCGCUCAACGGUGGAACGGCCAUUGAUACUGCAGGACUUGAAUUAUUGGGAAGUAACUAGAAUAUGUAGUGUAGCGGUGAAAUGCUUAGAGAUUACAUGGAAUACCAAUUGCGAAGGCAGGUUACUACCAAUUGAUUGACGCUGAUGGACGAAAGCGUGGGUAGCGAACAGGAUUAGAUACCCUGUAGUCCCUGUCUCUUAUACA